GACAAGGGCACUGCGCCCUGUUCAGUGGUAUCCUGGUCAUACUGCCAAAACGGAGAAAGAACUCAAAAGAACAAUUGAAAUUGAUGGAUGCUGUGAUAGAGGUGCGAGAUGCGAGGAUUCCUUUGUCCACAAGUCAUCCACAGGAAAUUUGAUUUUCAAAAGAUGGCCGAGGUGGAGGCCUACAACAAGGUUGGAGCUCGCAAGAAACGUUUGAGGCAGGAACCCGCGGUAAAAGCUCGUGGCCAAGGUCUGAGGAAAGAGCUUGCAUACAGAGCUCGCGGAAAGGAAAGAGAUCGUAGAUAGAGCUCACGGAAAGGCCUGAAACAAGAGUUCGCAAGAAGAGCUCGCAAAAAAGGAUCGUGACAAGAGAUCGCAGAAAGAAUUUGCGGCCAAGGGCUUGGGGUAAGAGUGCAGAAAGAACUCGCAGCAAGGCUCGAGGCAAGAGCUCGCAGUAAAUGACUCAUUAUAAGGAGGCAUAUAAGCAUGAGCUUACGAUAAAGGAUCACAACAAGAGUUUGAGGCAAGAGCUCGCGGAAAGAUCUGAAGCUAGAGCUCGCAGGAAAGCUUGCGGAGAGAGUUGAGGAAAGAGCUAGCGGAAAGGCUUGAAGCGGAGCUUGCAGUAAUUGAUCAUGGGUAAGAGCUCGUAGUAAAUAGCUAACAAAAGGGGCUUGAGGUAAGAGUUCGCGUAAGAGCUUGCAGAGAGAGUUCACGACCAAGGGUUCAAGGUUUCUGCUAUUACAAUGUAUACGGACAUGGUGCCAAACAAAUAUUCAAAGUGACAUUUAGAUGAGGUAAGAGGCAUUCAAAUGGCUGUAAUAUUAUGUGAGUAUCAUUUAGAUGAUUCAAGGGGCAUUCGAAUGGGACUUAUAUAUAUAUAUAUAUUUGUGAAUGUUAUUCAGAUGCAUCAUUUAUGCUUCUGCGAGCUCAAUUUUGGCCAUAUAUACAUGAUUAAGCUCAAGAAGAUAUAGAAGCAAACAGAGCCUUGUAUAUGUAUCUAGACAACUAAAGUACCAUUCACUGAAUAAAACUUGGGGUGGAAACAAACCCCAUUUUGAGACACAAUGAGACCCCAACAAAUACCCAAAUAUAAAGACUCAAUGAACACCAACAGAAAGAGAAUCAUACACAGCAACAUGCAUAUAUAUAUAUUUAUAUAUAAUCCCUUACAGUGACUAAAAUGAAGAAACUAACAGGAGAACUCGCAUGAGACAAUAAAUAAACAAGGUGUCUUGCACUGAAAAUCAGAAUGGAUAAGAGAGCUCGGAUUGAAAAUAAAGUGGGAGUGCAAGAAGAACUUGCCUGAUGACUUCGCUAUACAGAAGAAUCCUCUCUUCCUGAAACUGCUAUAGACCAAGACGAAAAUACAAGCAACUAGGAGGGAAAAAGAAGACAUAAAAAAAAAAGAAGAAGUCUCUAAUGGCAAAAGCGAGUAUGCACAGGAGAAAGGUCACUAAUGCAGAUGAAGCUUGAAGAGGGAAAGAUGCACGGUCUGCAACUGUGAAUUGAUAGGAAGACCUGACUACCCUUCUCUUCCAACAAUGGACAAACGAAGGUCCAAUAGCACUAUUGAUAUUUGCUAACCAAACCAAUUUAAUUUAUAUUAUAAUUUUCUUUUAAAAAUUCAAAUUUCAUUUCUUAAUUAGGCUCAGUCCAUGCCUUGGGUUAUUCCAUGACCCUACUCACUAUUCCAAAUAAUUCUCAACAUUUAAUCUCAUUCAUAAUAUAAUUAAAAUUCUAAACACAUCUUAAUGUCCAAAUUCAUUUGGACUCUCCCCACAUUUGAAUCAUAUUUGAAUGGGUUACCAAAUUCUUAUUUCCACUUAUUCUUUAUUUCUUAAAAAAAUAUUUUCAAUUCUCAAUUAAUUAAGACAAAAAUUUUAAGCCUAUAAUAAAAUAUCUAAAAAUGCCUAGACCCUCUAAUGGGUCCUUACAGUUUUAUCUUCCCUUCUCCAUUUCCCAAUUGUAUACCAUUGGUGCUUAUUCUAAAUCUCAAUUCUCAUAAUCCCAUAAAAUCCACUUUAUCUUCCUAAUAUUAUAAAAAAAAAAUUAAUACUCUUAAGAAGUUCUCGAAAAUUCUUUCGCCUAAGACCCCCAAAUUUAUUGAGUCGGCUCUGCUUAUA
This is a long non-coding RNA of Diospyros lotus (date-plum), 2120 nucleotides long. RefSeq lists it as uncharacterized. NCBI's taxonomy places the organism in Eukaryota, Viridiplantae, Streptophyta, Magnoliopsida, Ericales, Ebenaceae. The record is from RefSeq and is a predicted model, not a curated record. The transcript is spliced from 3 exons.